AUGUUCCUAGAGAAAAUUAUGUUGAAAGAUGUUAGUAGCAAUGAUGCGGAUUGGAUCCGUGAUCUGAGGUUUAUCCUCAUUGCUGCACAGAAGAAUUAUGUCCUUAAUGCACCGCUAGGUGACAGACCUAUUGCAGGAGCAGAUGCAGACGUUAUGAACGUUUGGCUAGCUCAAUAUGAUGACUACUUGAUAGUUUUGUGCACCAUGCUUUAUGGCUUAGAAUCGGGACUUCAAAGAUGUUUUGAACGUCAUGGACCAUAUGAGAUGUUCCAGGAAUUAAAGUUAAUAUUUCAAGCAAAUACCCGAGUUGAGAGAUAUGAAGUCUCCAACAAGUUCUAUAGCUAA
This 345-nucleotide ribosomal RNA is filed under the name Triticum aestivum (bread wheat). Its description in RNAcentral is "partial small subunit ribosomal RNA". Lineage: Eukaryota; Viridiplantae; Streptophyta; Magnoliopsida; Poales; Poaceae. The record is from RNAcentral.